GCAAUCAUCAUUUGAACUGUCCCUCCCCACAGUCCAUGCUGAAGUGGAAACAUAAGUAAUCACAGCAUCUCAGAUUUCUUUUCCAUGAAAUUGGCCUGGGAGGCUAGCAUUAAGCUCAAUCAGUGGUAUGGGUUUUAAACAAAAAACUCACAGAUUCAAUGUUGACUCAACCACACAUGGCUAAGAGCAAAAUAAAUUGUGGGAUGAAAGAGCGAUUUAAAGCAUUUUGAAGACAAAAAUUAGAUGCAAAAAUCAGUAAGAGAGAAGCAAUCUGAGAAGUGAAGUUGAAGUGAGAGAGGUGAGGAACGACCCUCAGUUACUGGUUUUCCAGUACCCAGUUCAGUUUCUGAAGACCUUGGCUACCCAUCCUGCCUUUGGAUGAAGCUUUGCCAUCAGACAAACUGAGGUUGCAUCCCAGCUUCACUGUUUCUUAUUUGUAUAAACUUAGACAAGCUCCUUAGUAAUUAUAGGGCUCAGUUUUCUCAUCUAUAGAAUGGUGAUAUCGUUUUUAUUGGGAUUAUAUGAGAAUGUAAAUUAAAAUGCUUAGCACAGUGUGUGACUCACAUUAAGCACUUAAAAUCAUUAGUGCUGAUCUCUUGAUAUCCUUAUUAAUUUUCUGUCUCAUUGAAUCUAAGUCUCCUAUCUGGGUGUUAGGAUCGUUAGCUCUUGUUGUUGCAUUGAUCCUUUUACCACUAUAUCUUUGUUGCUUUAAAAUCUAUUUUAUCCAAUACAAGAAUUGCAACUCCUCCUUUUUAUUUAUUUGUUAUUUAUUUUUGCUCUCCAUUUGGUUGGUAAAUCUUUCUCCAUCCCUUUGUUUUGAGUCUUUGUGUAUCCUUGCAUGUGAAACAGGUCUGGAUGUAACAUGCCGUUGGGUUUUGGCUGUGUCUUUUGAUUGGGAAUUUAGUCAAUUUAAAUUUAGGGUUACUGUCAUUUGAUGUUGACUGGCUGUUUUAUCCAUUUGUUGGUGUAAAUUCUUCUUUAUGUUUGUGUUCUUUACUUUUUGGUGUAUUUUUAGAAAGACUAAUACUGGUUGUUUCUUUCUGUGUGUAAUGCUUCUUUCAGAAGCUCUUGUAAAGCAGGCCUGGUGGUAAUACAAUCUCUGAGUUCUUGCUUGUUCAUAAAAGAUUUUAUUUUUCCUUCAGUUGUGAAGCUUAGUUUGGCUGGAUAUGAAAUUCUGGGCUGAAGGUUCUGUUCUUUGAGGAUGUUGAAUAUUGGCCCCCACUCUCUUCUGGCCUGUAGAGUUUCUGCUGAGAGAUCUGCUGUAAGUCUGAUAGGCUUGCCUUUGUGGGUUAUCUGACCUUUCUCUCUGGCUGCCCUUAGUAUCCUCUCCUUCGUUUCAACCCUGGUGAAUCUAACGAUUAUGUGCCUUGGGGUUGCUCUUCUUGAGGAAUAUCUUUGUGGUGUUCUCUGUACUACCUGGGGUUGAAUGUUGACCUGCUUUGCUAGUUUAGGAAAAUUUUCCUGAAUAAUAUCCUGAAGGGUAUUUUCCAGCUUGGAUUCAUUCUCUCCGUCGCAUUCAGGUACACCUAUCAAACGUAAAUUUGGUCUUUUCACAUAGUCCCACAUUUCUUGGAGACUUUGCUCAUUCCUUUUUAUCCUUUUUUCUCUAAUCUUUUCUUCACGUUUUAUUUCAUUAAGUUGGACUUUGACCUCUGAUAUCCCUUCUUCUGCUUGAACAAUUCGAGUGUUCAAACCUGUGCAUACUUCUCGGAGUUCCUGUAUUGUAUUCUUCAGUUCCAUUAAUUCACUCAUACUCCUCUCUAAGUUGUCUAUUCUCAAUAGGAUUUCAUCAAACCUUUUUUCAAAGUUCCUAGUUUCUUUACGUUGGGCUACAACAUGUUCUUUUAACUCACCGAAGUUUGUUAUUAUCCAUUCCUUGAAGAGUGAUUCUGUCAUCAGGAGGCGCUCGUUCUCCAUCAAGCCUUGUUCCAUUGUUGAUGUGGAACUGUGAUCAUCUUUAGAGGGAGAGGCGUUCUGACUUUGAGUAUUCUCAUCUUUUUUAUGCUGGUUUCUUCCCGUUAUUGUAAAUUUAUCCUCCUGUCAUCUUUGAAGUUACCAACUUUCAGAUUAGGUCUCUUGAGUGGACGUCCAGGUUGUUAGUUCCCAGGGCCAGAGCAGCGGUGUUAAAACUGAUGGUGCUUUUCUGCCCAGGAUUCUCCUGUUGGGCUUCCUUCUUGUGUCCGUAGUAGGCGACUCUGCCUUCCCGGGGCUCCAAACCUCGGUCAGAAGGGGAAGCCGUCCCGUUUACUCUGCGCCGAGUGCUGCCACACUGAGGUGCCAGCGGAACCGCUGCGCCCACCACGAGAGUUGCGCUGGCGACUAGUGUGUUUCCACCACUGGGGGAUCUUCUGCUCCGUGAGCGACCAGACUUUGUCUGAAAGUGUGGCGUCCUCUAGUUCUCUGCACCUUCCCUGAGAGCUGCAAUCCUGGGAUCCAUUAGCUCUUCUUGUUGUAUCGAUCCUUUUACCAUUAUGUAAUGGCCUUCUUUGUCUCUUCUGAUCUUUGUUGCUUUAAAGUCUAUUUCAUCAGAGACAAGAAUUGCAACUCCUACUUUUUUUUGCUCUCCAUUUGCUUGGUAAAUCUUCCUCCAUCCCUUCAUUUUGAGCCUUUGUGUAUCCUUGCAUGUGAGAUGGGUUUCCUGGAUACAGCACACUGAUGGGUUUUAGCUUUUUAUCCAAUUUGCCAGUCUGUGUCUUUUGAUUGGUGCAUUUAGUCCAUUUACAUUUAGGGUUAAUAUUGUUAUGUGUGAAUUUGAUACUGCCAUUUUGAUGCUAGCUGGCUGUUUUGCUCGUUAGUUGUUGUAGAUUCUUCAUUAUGUUGAGGCCGUUUAGCAUUUAAUGUGAUUUUGGAAUGGCUGGUACUGGUUGUUCCUUUCUAUGUGUAGUGCCUCUUUUAGGAGCUCUUGUAAAGCAGGCCUGGUGGUGACAAAAUCUCUGAGUACUUGCUUGUUCACAAAGGGUUUUAUUUUUCCUUCACUUCUGAAGCUCAGUUUGGCUGG
Callithrix jacchus (white-tufted-ear marmoset) is the source of this 2998-nucleotide long non-coding RNA. The record is from Ensembl. NCBI's taxonomy places the organism in Eukaryota, Metazoa, Chordata, Mammalia, Primates, Cebidae.